RNAcentral lists this long non-coding RNA (492 nucleotides) under Vulpes vulpes (red fox). RNAcentral's name for it is "lncRNA (ENSVVUG00000005702.1)". Lineage: Eukaryota; Metazoa; Chordata; Mammalia; Carnivora; Canidae. The record is from RNAcentral.
CGAAACUGCAUCACAACUGAAACACCUUCAGGUGGGGAGAAGAAGGGAAGAGGAAGAAAGGAUUCUACUGCAGAUGUGUAAGGUUUUAUGAACACCUGGGAUACUUAAUUAGCCAGCAGACACGAUUCUUCACAGUGCUGGAUCAUAGAGAAAUGGCCAUUUUGCACAGGGCCCUGCAAAGUGUGUGGCUGGCCCUGAUUCCAGGGACCAAAGAACGACCGUUCACCUUCCAUAUUUCACAGAUGCGUCCACGUAGACAUUCACACAUACGUGCAAAAGUGUGCAUGUGUGUCUAUGUAUUUGUGACAGACAAGAAAGAGAGAGAGAGAGAGCCUGCAUGACAUUCUUAACACCUGCUCUGCCACCCACUUUCCAGCUUCCUUUGGAAGUCAAGAACUGGGUUCUGAGACCUUCGGUCAGGUGAGCACUGUCCAGGGCUUAGCCAUGUGCAUGUGUGUAUAUGUAUGCAUGUAUGUAUACAUGUGUGUGUAU